UUAGGGGAAGACCGAAAACCUAAAAUAGAGUAGGUC
Molecule: non-coding RNA, 36 nt
Organism: Zunongwangia atlantica 22II14-10F7
Lineage: Bacteria; Pseudomonadati; Bacteroidota; Flavobacteriia; Flavobacteriales; Flavobacteriaceae
Source: Rfam